The submitters of this non-coding RNA (54 nucleotides) gave its source as unclassified sequences. The record is from Rfam.
CCUUGACAGUCGCAUUGGGCGAUUGACAUUUGCCAAGACAAGGAGAUUGAUAUG